RNAcentral lists this ribosomal RNA (256 nucleotides) under uncultured prokaryote. RNAcentral's name for it is "partial 16S ribosomal RNA". It matches the Rfam family "Bacterial small subunit ribosomal RNA", at positions 523 to 777 of the family's 1533-position model. The record is from RNAcentral.
AUACGGGGGGAGCAAGCGUUGUUCGGAUUUACUGGGCGUAAAGGGCGCGUAGGCGGCCACCGCAAGUCAAUUGUGAAAUCUCCGGGCUUAACUCGGAAAGGUCAACUGAUACUGCGGGGCUAGAGUGCGGAAGGGGCAACUGGAAUUCUCGGUGUAGCGGUGAAAUGCGUAGAUAUCGAGAGGAACACCUGCGGCGAAGGCGGGUUGCUGGGCCGACACUGACGCUGAGGCGCGAAAGCUAGGGGAGCGAACGGGA